CUACGGGACGCAGCAGUGGGGAAUAUUGCGCAAUGGGCGAAAGCCUGACGCAGCAACGCCGCGUGAUCGAUGAAGCUUCAAGGAGUGUAAAGAUCUGUCCUAAGGGAAGAAUGGUUCCAAGUCGAAUAGGCUUGGUUCGUGACGGUACCUUAGAAGAAAGCGCCGGCUAACUUCGUGCCAGCAGCCGCGGUAAUACGAGGGGCGCAAGCGUUGUCCGGAUUCAUUGGGUGUAAAGGGUGCGUAGGUGGAUUUGUAAGUUGGAAUUUAAAUCCCGCAGCUUAACUGCGGACCUGGUUUCAAACUGCAGAUCUUGAGUUCGAAAGAGGGGAGUGGAAUUCCUAGUGUAGCGGUGGAAUGCGUAGAUAUUAGGAGGAACACCAGUGGCGAAGGCGGCCCUCUGGUUCGAUACUGACACUAAGGCACGAAAGCGUGGGGAGCAAACAGGAUUAGAUACCCCCGUAGUC
This 464-nucleotide ribosomal RNA is filed under the name uncultured bacterium. Its description in RNAcentral is "partial 16S ribosomal RNA". It matches the Rfam family "Bacterial small subunit ribosomal RNA", at positions 339 to 795 of the family's 1533-position model. The record is from RNAcentral.